This 1828-nucleotide long non-coding RNA is filed under the name Canis lupus familiaris (dog). RNAcentral describes it as "lncRNA (ENSCAFG00000054843.1, ENSCAFG00845007698.1)". Lineage: Eukaryota; Metazoa; Chordata; Mammalia; Carnivora; Canidae. The record is from RNAcentral.
UUUUUUCCCACCAACCACUGGUUUUUCCAUUCCGUUACUGACACUGAGUUUUAUUAAUGUUUCACUGUGGAUGCUCACCUGGAUCACUAAGAAAGCAACACCUUAGUAUGGUUUUAUUUGAUUUUGAAUGGCUGUUCCAUAUGGAAACCAUAACUUUAGGAAAUUAUAAUGCAAGAAAAACUAGAAAGAAACAUGAUCCAGGGAUACCUGGGUGGCUCAGCGGUUGAGUGUCUACCUUCGGCUCAGGUCAUGAUCCUGUGGUCCUGGGAUCAAGUUCCGCAUCAGGCUUCUCGCAGUGAGCCUGCUUCUCCCUCUGCCUUUGUUUCUGCCUCUCUGAAUCUCUCAUGAAUAAAUAAAUAAAAUCUUUUUUAAAAAGAAAAAAAGAAGAAAACAUGAUCCAAGGGGCUCCUGGGUAGCUCAGUUGGUUAAGUGUCUGCCUUCAGCUCAGGUCAUGAUCUCAGGGUCCUGGGAUGGAGUCCUAUAUUAUCAGUUUCCCUGCUCAGCAAGAGGUCUGCUUCUCCCUCUCCCCCACCUCGACUGCUUGUGUUCUCUCUCACUCUCUCUCUCUUUCUCAAAUAAAUAAAAUCUUAGAAAAGAAAACAUUAUCCAAGUGAAGAAACCUAUAAAUAAACUAAGAUACCAAAAAAGAUAUUAUUAAAGAUGAAAAAAUAAAUUGUGAAUAUAUCUCUUCCUCCCAAAUCCAUCUAUAAUCCCAAACUAAAUCACAAUUGUGGGAGGUACUUGACAAAAUAAGCACCUUCUAAAAUCCCACUUUUAUUAAAAGAGAAGCAGUGGUAGCCAGCUUCUGAUAAUGAACACCCUUGGCCUUCUGUAAGUUGUUAAUUACUUCAGUAAAUAUUAGUUUUACUUAAUCCUCUUUAUUAAGACUAUUUGAAGGACACCUAGUCUGGCUAAUUUCUUAUUGACAAACAUUUCCCAUUAUUACACUUUACAGAGUUUCUCUACUACACGGGAUUUCUUAUGUCUACAGAUUGCAUUUUUGCUAGUUUUACCACAUGCACAUUGUUUGGAACAUUUCUUUUUUAUGCACAAACCAAUGAAUGAAGAUUCUCACUGAAGAAGUCCUAUCCACACCAUUUAAGGUAGCUGCACUGCCACAUAUAACCUUAAAUAUUUAGAAGUUUUGAAUUCAAUUAUGAAGUUGUUUCCUUACGUGAACUCCAAUGACCAUGAAAUAUGUUGCCGUUAAAUCCCUCUGUCAUAGUUGGCAUAACCUGGGCAAUACCAGCAAGAAAUAAACUGCCAAAAUAUCAGUAGUAUAACACAAUACAUGUUUAUUUCUUACUCAAGAAAAAUAAAGUCCAACAGAGGUCAGAUAGCCAUCUUCUACCAAUCAAGCCUGGAACAGCCUCCAAAGUCGCCAUCAAGACAGAAAAGGUGCCCAGAGGGACAUCACAAGAUGUUUGUAAGGGCCAGGCCGGGAAGGAGCUUAUAUUACUUAUGCUCACGCUCUGUUGCUUGGAACUCUAUCACAUGGACCAGCUCUUAACUGCAAGGGUUUCUGGGAAAUGGAGUCUUUAUGUGACCAAGAAAUGGAACCAGCUGAGACAAACACACAGCCAUGCCUAUAAAGUUAACACUCGACAGAGCUUCUUCCUGUGUAGAAAAUCUAAUGGAAUGGACUAAUAUUCUUACCACGUUAAUAACAUGGGUUUCAUUUCUGAGCACUCUUCUGAAUAUCUUUCCAGUGAUACUCCUUUACUUUGCCACUGCAGCAUGUGACAGCUGAUGAGAGCUUUGCAGAAGUUCUUGGGAUCCACAGUAGAAUGCUCUUAAGAACCCCUGCUUGAGUGCUGCAGGAUGACAU